Molecule: ribosomal RNA, 451 nt
Filed under: uncultured Sphingobacteriales bacterium
Lineage: Bacteria; Pseudomonadati; Bacteroidota; Sphingobacteriia; Sphingobacteriales
Description: bacterial SSU rRNA
Rfam family: Bacterial small subunit ribosomal RNA
Source: RNAcentral
GCGGAGGAGCAUGUGGUUUAAUUCGAUGAUACGCGAGGAACCUUACCUGGGCUCGAACGUAAGAUGACUGUAGGUGAAAGCUUACAUCUCUUCGGAGCAUUUUACGAGGUGCUGCAUGGUUGUCGUCAGCUCGUGCCGUGAGGUGUCGGGUUAAGUCCCAUAACGAGCGCAACCCCUACCUUAGUUGCCAUCAGGUUAAGCUGGGGACUCUAAAGGAACUGCCUACGCAAGUAGUGAGGAAGCGGGGAUGACGUCAAAUCAGCACGGCCCUUACGUCCAGGGCUACACACGUGCUACAAUGGCCGAUACAGAGGGCAGCUACCUGGUGACAGGAUGCAAAUCUCCAAAGUCGGUCUCAGUUCGGAUCGGAGUCUGCAACCCGACUCCGUGAAGUUGGAUUCGCUAGUAAUCGCGCAUCAGCCAUGGCGCGGUGAAUACGUUCCCGGGCCUU